CUUUUUUUCUUUACUUUAUUUGUUUAAGGCUAUUCAUUGAACGAUCUAAGUCUCUUGUUUUACUCUUUUCAGGAAAUCAUAGUUUAUGCAAAAUUCUGACGAGAUUGAGCUUCUUCCAAUAAAUCCCGAAAUCAAAAGAACUUUCAGACAACGAAAAGAGAGAGCAUAGACAAGCAAGAGAUAUUGCAGAAAACUAGCAUCAGAAUUAGGCUCAGAACCAUUUGCCACUACCUCAGCCAAUUCAGCCAGAUCUGUCGAGGACAGUCGCAAAUCAUGGGGAAGUUUUAGUGAGAGAUUUUGUAAAUCCAGUGCCAGCACCGAUUCAACCUCCAAUCAUCUAUCCGCCCUUUGGACAAGCUAACUUCCACAUCGGACCAGAUGUCAUAAACCUCUUUCAAAAUCAUCAAGACUUCAGGUUCAGUGGGAAAGCUACGGAAAAUCCACAUAAACACGUUCAAGCUUUUACCAUGUUGUGUGAUGUAAUUAGCCAUGAGGGGAUGUCACGGGAUGCAUUUCGAAUGCAUUUAUUUCCUCACACUUUGAAGGAAGGUGCGAAAAUAUGGAUGAUGUCACAACCUUCUGGGAGCAUUAUAUCGUAGAAUGACAUGAUUAAAAAAUUUACCUUGAAGUUUUUUCCACCAACUCGAGUUCAUCAAAUUCUGAAUGAAAUCCACACUUUUAAGCAGAAAGACCUUGAGAGCUAUCCAAAGGCAUGGGAAAGGUAUACAAACUUAUUGAGGAAGUGCUCCAUUCUUGACAUUCCUAAAUAAGCACAAAUUUAUAUCUUUUACUAUGGAUUACACCAAGAAUUCAAGAAUAUGGUAGAUGCUUUAGCAGAAGGAUCGAUAAUGGCUAUAAAAGUGGACAAUGCUUAUGAGCUGUAUGAGAGGAUAGCAGAAAGUCAAUCGAUGUGGCCGAGCAAUAGAGAAGUCCAGAGGAAAACAACUGGUAUAUAUAAUGUGGAUGUAGUGACAGUGUUCACAUCACAGAUGAAGGCAAUAACUAGAAAGCUCGACACUUUGACCCAUUCUGUGAAUAUGGUACAAACUCCAGCUCUGAAGUGUGCAGGUUGUGGGGCAGAUCACAUUACUACAAGUUGCCCUUUGGCUUCUACUCACAUAAGUUAGCCAGCAGAGGUCAGUUAUGCACAGAAUUAUCAGAGGUAAAAUGGUCCUUACCCAUACAACUACCAUCCGAGUUUGAACAAGCAUCCUAACUACGCGAGGGUUGAUAAUUCAUAUCAAGUAAAUCAAAUGAGGGGCAAUCCACCAUCGAUUCAGCAACAAGAAGAAAAGAGACAAUCAUUGAAGGAUCUACUUGUCAAGUACGUCACCAAGACUGAGACGGUGAUACAGAAUCAGCAAGCCUCUAUACAUAACUUAGAGAAACGAGUGGGAAAGAUAGCAGUUGCAUUAGCCAACAGAGCACAAGGUACUCUGCCGAGCGAUACAAAAAAGAACCCAAAGGAGCAGGUAUUAGUAGUUAAAGCUGUGAAUUAUGCAACUAUCGAGACACCAUCAAUCAAGCCUGCUAUACCUGUUCGAGCUUAUGUGCCGCCUAUCUCAUUUCCUCAAAGGCUUCAAAGACGUCCUAAAAAUGAACAAGUUCAGGCUAUCACAACAAGAAGCGGAAUUCAACUGCCAGAAAUCACAGUGAAGAAGAAGGGGAUUGAGGAAAAUUGAGUACUGACCUUGGGAGAAGACAAGUGGGUCAGUCUGAAAAUUUAUCAAAUGUUAAUCAAGAAUAACAGUCAGACAAUCCACAGGUCAAUGCGACUAUUCUUAGCAAUAACAACACACCUUUAGUUCCAUUCCCUCAAAGGUUGCAAAAAUUUGUUCGUGUGAAACUCGCAAGCGUAUGAGAUCGUUUACAAGUAAUAAUAAGUGAGUUAAGAGUUUAUCGUCCCACGAGGAAUAAGGUUUAAUGUCUAGUUUGAUAGUUUUUAUCAAAUUCGAUAUUAUCGUAACACAAAAGAGAGUUUAAUGUUUUUCUAUAUUGAUCCUAAUCUAAGAAAGCGAUUAAAAUGUA
This 2028-nucleotide long non-coding RNA is filed under the name Olea europaea subsp. europaea. Lineage: Eukaryota; Viridiplantae; Streptophyta; Magnoliopsida; Lamiales; Oleaceae. The record is from RNAcentral.